UGAGGAAUUUUCGGCAAUGGGGGCAACCCUGACCGAGCAACGCCGCGUGCAGGAUGACGGCCUUCGGGUUGUAAACUGCUUUUCUGGGGGACGAGUGAGGACGGUACCCCAGGAAUCAGCCCCGGCUCACUACGUGCCAGCAGCCGCGGUAAUACGUAGGGGGCGAGCGUUGUCCGGAGUGACUGGGCGUAAAGGGCCCGCAGGCGGUCGUGCGCGUUUUGAGUGACAGCUCCCGGCUUCACUGGGAGAGGGUUCAGAAGACGGCACGACUUGAGGGUGAGAGAGGGACACGGAAUUCCGGGUGUAGUGGUGAAAUGCGUAGAUAUCCGGAGGAACACCGAAGGCGAAGGCAGUGUCCUGGCUCAUACCUGACGCUGAGGGGCGAAAGCCAGGGGAGCGAACGG
RNAcentral lists this ribosomal RNA (404 nucleotides) under uncultured bacterium. RNAcentral describes it as "bacterial SSU rRNA". It matches the Rfam family "Bacterial small subunit ribosomal RNA", at positions 355 to 775 of the family's 1533-position model. The record is from RNAcentral.